RNAcentral lists this ribosomal RNA (499 nucleotides) under Plesionika semilaevis. RNAcentral's name for it is "partial 16S ribosomal RNA". The stretch from base 162 to 499 matches the Rfam family "Bacterial large subunit ribosomal RNA", at positions 2075 to 2621 of the family's 2925-position model. Lineage: Eukaryota; Metazoa; Arthropoda; Malacostraca; Decapoda; Pandalidae. The record is from RNAcentral.
CAUCGCCUGUUUAUCAAAACAUCGCCUGUUUAUCAAGAACAUCGCCUGUUUAUCAAGAACACCUCCAGUUGAUCGCAAACAUCAAUGGUUUAUCAAGGGGCUAGCCUGUUCUUUUGUAUCUUUUGAACUUUACUUUAAAGUGACAAGGUUUAAAUAUUCUUGGGGGACGAUUAGACCCUAUAAAACUUUACAGUUUAAUUUAUAUUUUUUGAAGUGAAGUAUGAUAUUAAUUAUAAACAUUCUGUUAUGUUGGGGCGACAAAGAUAUAAUAAGUAACUGUUAAAUAUAUAAGAUAAUUAUAAUUAGAUAAUUGAUCCUUUAUUAAAGAUUAAAAGAUUAAGUUACUUUAGGGAUAACAGCGUAAUUUUCUCUGAGAGUUCUUAUCGACGAGAGUAGUUGCGACCUCGAUGUUGAAUUAAGAUUUCUUUUAAAUGUAGCAGUUUAAUGAGUGGGUCUGUUCGACCUUUAAAAUCUUACGUGAUCUGAGUUCAGACCGGAC